UCCAGAGAUGGAUUCGUGCUCGAAAGAGAACCUGCACACAGGUGCUGCAUGGCUGUCGUCAGCUCGUGUCCUGAGAUGUUGGGUUAAGUCCCGCAACGAGCGCAACCCUUGUCAUUAGUUGCUACAUUCAGUUGAGCACUCUAAUGAGACUGCCGGUGACAAACCGGAGGAAGGUGGGGAUGACGUCAAGUCCUCAUGGCCCUUAUAGGUGGGGCUACACACGUCAUACAAUGGCUGGUACAGAGGGUUGCCAACCCGCGAGGGGGAGCUAAUCCCAUAAAACCAGUCGUAGUCCGGAUCGCAGUCUGCAACUCGACUGCGUGAAGUCGGAAUCGCUAGUAAUCGCGGAUCAGCAUGCCGCGGUGAAUACGUUCCCGGGUCUUGUACACACCGCCCGUCACACCAUGGGAGCGGGUCUCGCCAGAAGUAGGUAGCCUAACCGCAAGGAGGGCGCUUACCACGGCGGGGUUCGUGACUGGGGUGAAGUCGUAACAAGGUAGCC
This 502-nucleotide ribosomal RNA is filed under the name uncultured Delftia sp. RNAcentral describes it as "bacterial SSU rRNA". It matches the Rfam family "Bacterial small subunit ribosomal RNA", at positions 999 to 1501 of the family's 1533-position model. Lineage: Bacteria; Pseudomonadati; Pseudomonadota; Betaproteobacteria; Burkholderiales; Comamonadaceae. The record is from RNAcentral.